RNAcentral lists this ribosomal RNA (460 nucleotides) under uncultured bacterium. Its description in RNAcentral is "partial 16S ribosomal RNA". It matches the Rfam family "Bacterial small subunit ribosomal RNA", at positions 338 to 795 of the family's 1533-position model. The record is from RNAcentral.
CCUACGGGCGGCAGCAGUGAGGAAUAUUCGUCAAUGGACGAGAGUCUGACCCAGCCACGUCGCGUGAAGGAUGACUGCCCUAUGGGUUGUAAACUUCUUUUAUAUGGGAAUAAAAUGAUCCACGUAUGGGAUCUUGUCUGUACCAUAUGAAUAAGGAUCGGCUAACUCAGUGCCAGCAGCCGCGGUAAUACGGAGGAUCCGAGCGUUCUCCGGAUUUAUUGGGUUUAAAGGGAGCGUAGGUGGUUUGUUAAGUCAGUUGUGAAAGUUUGCGGCUCAACCGUAAAAUUGCAGUUGAAACUGGCAGUCUUGAGUACAGUAGAGGUGGGCGGAAUUCGUGGUGUAGCGGUGAAAUGCUUAGAUAUCACGAAGAACUCCGAUUGCGAAGGCAGUUCACUGGACUGCAACUGACACUGAGGCUCGAAAGUGUGGGUAUCAAACAGGAUUAGAUACCCUUGUAGUC